UCACUACGCCAUGCCGUUAGAAGUGAAGCUACGUAUCGACAUGAACGAGAACGCAAGGGGGGUGGCGGGGGAAAUAGAAUGCAUAAGAAUCCAUAAGAAAACCAAAAGAUGAAGUAUGUGAUGUCUUUCCUCCAGAAUAUCAAGCAAGAGAUCAUCAUCCGCGAUUAUUCAGUUUAUCGAUAGUGAAGAAAGCCGCAAACAACUUAACCAAGAAACAAAACAUGCAUGAGAGAGAAGGCACAGACUUUGUCAUAAAACAAUUUGAUGGAACGCAAAAAGCCACAGAUUGGAGUAUGAAAUAUUCAUAUUUCACAUAAGCAUCCCUUCCAUACUCUAAUAUGAGUAUGAAACCGAAUACGAAAAAUACAAAAUCCAAACUGAUGAAAAAAGGAUCAAGAAUUUGAAGAAAUAUUUGGGAAAAAUAGCAUCAGAAUGAUACCAAGCAAAUCUGCUGAAGGAUGAAGAAUACAACUGGGAAAAUUGGAAGGUUCAUUCACUGAAUAUGUCAUAAAAAAGGAAUGAUUAAUAUUGGAAGUAAGGAGGAAGACUUCUGAAGAGACAGGGAUAAAUCUAAUUGUUAUUGGAUUACCCAUACACAUUCAAGAUAAAAUCGAUAAAGAAACAGUACAAUCAACAAAUGGCUUAAUCAGAUUCUUGGGGCAAUAUCAGA
This is a long non-coding RNA of Bombus terrestris (buff-tailed bumblebee), 670 nucleotides long. RefSeq lists it as uncharacterized. The record is from RefSeq and is a predicted model, not a curated record. Lineage: Eukaryota; Metazoa; Arthropoda; Insecta; Hymenoptera; Apidae. The transcript has 3 exons.